CUUUUGUAGUGUAUGAAAUGCUCACAGCACAGAUUGCACCAAAGAGGCAGCAUCUGUGAUGCGGGCUGUGUUGUGAGCAUUCCUUACACUACAAAAG
Non-coding RNA from Pelobates cultripes (western spadefoot toad), 97 nucleotides. The record is from the annotation of a GenBank genome assembly. Lineage: Eukaryota; Metazoa; Chordata; Amphibia; Anura; Pelobatidae.